This 61-nucleotide transfer RNA is filed under the name Phyllodiaptomus tunguidus. RNAcentral's name for it is "tRNA-Lys". The record is from RNAcentral. Lineage: Eukaryota; Metazoa; Arthropoda; Copepoda; Calanoida; Diaptomidae.
UUAUUUUAGAGCUUAGCUAUUUCUGUAUCUUCAGUACAGUAUUUUAUUUAAAUUACUAAAA